This 497-nucleotide ribosomal RNA is filed under the name uncultured bacterium. Its description in RNAcentral is "partial 16S ribosomal RNA". It matches the Rfam family "Bacterial small subunit ribosomal RNA", at positions 28 to 507 of the family's 1533-position model. The record is from RNAcentral.
GAUGAACGCUGGCGGCGUGCCUAAUACAUGCAAGUCGAGCGAACAGACGAGGAGCUUGCUCCUCUGACGUUAGCGGCGGACGGGUGAGUAACACGUGGAUAACCUACCUAUAAGACUGGGAUAACUUCGGGAAACCGGAGCUAAUACCGGAUAAUAUAUUGAACCGCAUGGUUCAAUAGUGAAAGACGGUUUUGCUGUCACUUAUAGAUGGAUCCGCGCCGCAUUAGCUAGUUGGUAAGGUAACGGCUUACCAAGGCGACGAUGCGUAGCCGACCUGAGAGGGUGAUCGGCCACACUGGAGCUGAGACACGGUCCAGACUCCUACGGGAGGCAGCAGUAGGGAAUCUUCCGCAAUGGGCGAAAGCCUGACGGAGCAACGCCGCGUGAGUGAUGAAGGUCUUCGGAUCGUAAAACUCUGUUAUUAGGGAAGAACAAAUGUGUAAGUACCUAUGCACGUCUUGACGGUACCUAAUCAGAAAGCCACGGCUAACUACGUG